GACGAACGCUGGCGGCGUGCUUAACACAUGCAAGUCGAACGGAAAGGCCCCCACUUUUUUGGUGGGGGUGCUCGAGUGGCGAACGGGUGAGUAACACGUGGGUGAUCUGCCCUGUACUUCGGGAUAAGCUUGGGAAACUGGGUCUAAUACCGGAUAGGACCAUGGUUUAGUGUCUCAUGGUGGAAAAAUUAUUGUUUUGGUGCAGGAUGAGCUCGCGGCCUAUCAGCUUGUUGGUGGGGUAAUGGCCUACCAAGGCGUCGACGGGUAGCCGGCCUGAGAGGGUGGACGGCCACAUUGGGACUGAGAUACGGCCCAGACUCCUACGGGCGGCAGCAGUGGGGAAUAUUGCACAAUGGGCGCUAGCCUGAUGCAGCGACGCCGCGUGGGGGAUGACGGCCUUCGGGUUGUAAACUCCUUUCGUUAGGGACGAAGCCGCACCUUUUUUGGGUGUGGUGACGGUACCUUUGUUAAGAAGCACCGGCUAACUACGU
Molecule: ribosomal RNA, 491 nt
Filed under: uncultured bacterium
Lineage: Bacteria
Description: partial 16S ribosomal RNA
Rfam family: Bacterial small subunit ribosomal RNA
Source: RNAcentral